RNAcentral lists this unclassified non-coding RNA (434 nucleotides) under soil metagenome. Its description in RNAcentral is "partial contains 5.8S ribosomal RNA, internal transcribed spacer 2, and large subunit ribosomal RNA". The stretch from base 1 to 120 matches the Rfam family "5.8S ribosomal RNA", at positions 35 to 154 of the family's 154-position model. The record is from RNAcentral.
GAUGAAGAACGUAGCGAAAUGCGAUACGUAAUGUGAAUUGCAGAAUUCAGUGAAUCAUCGAAUCUUUGAACGCAUAUUGCGCUCUCUGGUAUUCCGGAGAGCAUGCUUGUUUGAGUAUCAGUAAACACCUCAACUUCCAUAUCUUUUUUGAAAUGGGAGUUGGACUUGAGUGAUCCCAACGCUUUUCCUCACCGAAAAGUGGCGGGUUACUUGAAAUGCAGGUGCAGCUGGACUUUUCUCUGAGCUUAUAAGCAUAUCUAUUUAGUCUGCCUAAAAAACAGAUUAUUACCUUUGCUGCAGCUAACAUAAAGGAGAUUAGUUCUUGUGCUGACUGAUGCAGGAUUCACAAAGACAGGCUUCGGCCGACUUUGUAAACUCGAUCUCAAAUCAAGUAAGACUACCCGCUGAACUUAAGCAUAUCAAUACGCGGAGGA